GGUUAAGCGACUAAGCGUACACGGUGGAUGCCCUGGCAGUCAGAGGCGAUGAAGGACGUGCUAAUCUGCGAUAAGCGUCGGUAAGGUGAUAUGAACCGUUAUAACCGGCGAUUUCCGAAUGGGGAAACCCAGUGUGUUUCGACACACUAUCAUUAACUGAAUCCAUAGGUUAAUGAGGCGAACCGGGGGAACUGAAACAUCUAAGUACCCCGAGGAAAAGAAAUCAACCGAGAUUCCCCCAGUAGCGGCGAGCGAACGGGGAGCAGCCCAGAGCCUGAAUCAGUGUGUGUGUUAGUGGAAGCGUCUGGAAAGGCGCGCGAUACAGGGUGACAGCCCCGUACACAAAAAUGCACAUGCUGUGAGCUCGAUGAGUAGGGCGGGACACGUGGUAUCCUGUCUGAAUAUGGGGGGACCAUCCUCCAAGGCUAAAUACUCCUGACUGACCGAUAGUGAACCAGUACCGUGAGGGAAAGGCGAAAAGAACCCCGGCGAGGGGAGUGAAAAAGAACCUGAAACCGUGUACGUACAAGCAGUGGGAGCACGCUUAGGCGUGUGACUGCGUACCUUUUGUAUAAUGGGUCAGCGACUUAUAUUCUGUAGCAAGGUUAACCGAAUAGGGGAGCCGAAGGGAAACCGAGUCUUAACUGGGCGUUAAGUUGCAGGGUAUAGACCCGAAACCCGGUGAUCUAGCCAUGGGCAGGUUGAAGGUUGGGUAACACUAACUGGAGGACCGAACCGACUAAUGUUGAAAAAUUAGCGGAUGACUUGUGGCUGGGGGUGAAAGGCCAAUCAAACCGGGAGAUAGCUGGUUCUCCCCGAAAGCUAUUUAGGUAGCGCCUCGUGAAUUCAUCUCCGGGGGUAGAGCACUGUUUCGGCAAGGGGGUCAUCCCGACUUACCAACCCGAUGCAAACUGCGAAUACCGGAGAAUGUUAUCACGGGAGACACUCGGCGGGUGCUAACGUCCGUCGUGAAGAGGGAAACAACCCAGACCGCCAGCUAAGGUCCCAAAGUCAUGGUUAAGUGGGAAACGAUGUGGGAAGGCCCAGACAGCCAGGAUGUUGGCUUAGAAGCAGCCAUCAUUUAAAGAAAGCGUAAUAGCUCACUGGUCGAGUCGGCCUGCGCGGAAGAUGUAACGGGGCUAAACCAUGCACCGAAGCUGCGGCAGCGACGCUGAUGCGUUGUUGGGUAGGGGAGCGUUCUGUAAGCCUGUGAAGGUGUGCUGUGAGGCAUGCUGGAGGUAUCAGAAGUGCGAAUGCUGACAUAAGUAACGAUAAAGCGGGUGAAAAGCCCGCUCGCCGGAAGACCAAGGGUUCCUGUCCAACGUUAAUCGGGGCAGGGUGAGUCGACCCCUAAGGCGAGGCCGAAAGGCGUAGUCGAUGGGAAACAGGUUAAUAUUCCUGUACUUGGUGUUACUGCGAAGGGGGGACGGAGAAGGCUAUGUUGGCCGGGCGACGGUUGUCCCGGUUUAAGCGUGUAGGCUGGUUUUCCAGGCAAAUCCGGAAAAUCAAGGCUGAGGCGUGAUGACGAGGCACUACGGUGCUGAAGCAACAAAUGCCCUGCUUCCAGGAAAAGCCUCUAAGCAUCAGGUAACAUCAAAUCGUACCCCAAACCGACACAGGUGGUCAGGUAGAGAAUACCAAGGCGCUUGAGAGAACUCGGGUGAAGGAACUAGGCAAAAUGGUGCCGUAACUUCGGGAGAAGGCACGCUGAUAUGUAGGUGAAGUCCCUCGCGGAUGGAGCUGAAAUCAGUCGAAGAUACCAGCUGGCUGCAACUGUUUAUUAAAAACACAGCACUGUGCAAACACGAAAGUGGACGUAUACGGUGUGACGCCUGCCCGGUGCCGGAAGGUUAAUUGAUGGGGUUAGCCGCAAGGCGAAGCUCUUGAUCGAAGCCCCGGUAAACGGCGGCCGUAACUAUAACGGUCCUAAGGUAGCGAAAUUCCUUGUCGGGUAAGUUCCGACCUGCACGAAUGGCGUAAUGAUGGCCAGGCUGUCUCCACCCGAGACUCAGUGAAAUUGAACUCGCUGUGAAGAUGCAGUGUACCCGCGGCAAGACGGAAAGACCCCGUGAACCUUUACUAUAGCUUGACACUGAACAUUGAGCCUUGAUGUGUAGGAUAGGUGGGAGGCUUUGAAGUGUGGACGCCAGUCUGCAUGGAGCCGACCUUGAAAUACCACCCUUUAAUGUUUGAUGUUCUAACGUUGACCCGUAAUCCGGGUUGCGGACAGUGUCUGGUGGGUAGUUUGACUGGGGCGGUCUCCUCCUAAAGAGUAACGGAGGAGCACGAAGGUUGGCUAAUCCUGGUCGGACAUCAGGAGGUUAGUGCAAUGGCAUAAGCCAGCUUGACUGCGAGCGUGACGGCGCGAGCAGGUGCGAAAGCAGGUCAUAGUGAUCCGGUGGUUCUGAAUGGAAGGGCCAUCGCUCAACGGAUAAAAGGUACUCCGGGGAUAACAGGCUGAUACCGCCCAAGAGUUCAUAUCGACGGCGGUGUUUGGCACCUCGAUGUCGGCUCAUCACAUCCUGGGGCUGAAGUAGGUCCCAAGGGUAUGGCUGUUCGCCAUUUAAAGUGGUACGCGAGCUGGGUUUAGAACGUCGUGAGACAGUUCGGUCCCUAUCUGCCGUGGGCGCUGGAGAACUGAGGGGGGCUGCUCCUAGUACGAGAGGACCGGAGUGGACGCAUCACUGGUGUUCGGGUUGUCAUGCCAAUGGCACUGCCCGGUAGCUAAAUGCGGAAGAGAUAAGUGCUGAAAGCAUCUAAGCACGAAACUUGCCCCGAGAUGAGUUCUCCCUGACUCCUUGAGAGUCCUGAAGGAACGUUGAAGACGACGACGUUGAUAGGCCGGGUGUGUAAGCGCAGCGAUGCGUUGAGCUAACCGGUACUAAUGAACCGUGAGGCUUAACCUU
Molecule: ribosomal RNA, 2906 nt
Filed under: Escherichia coli ETEC H10407
Lineage: Bacteria; Pseudomonadati; Pseudomonadota; Gammaproteobacteria; Enterobacterales; Enterobacteriaceae
Description: bacterial LSU rRNA
Rfam family: Bacterial large subunit ribosomal RNA
Source: RNAcentral